RNAcentral lists this small RNA (609 nucleotides) under Histoplasma capsulatum. RNAcentral describes it as "hypothetical RNA". Lineage: Eukaryota; Fungi; Ascomycota; Eurotiomycetes; Onygenales; Ajellomycetaceae. The record is from RNAcentral.
CCCCGGGAAAGAAGAAAUUGGUUAUUAUAUUGCUUAUUUAUUUUUUAUUUUUAUUUUUGACAGCCUUUUGCAUUGGUGCUGCUUCAUUGGGCUAUAUACACAGAAACCCCCCGCCCCCCUCCCUUUUUUUUUAAACAAAAAAACUUUUGAUGUAAACCAUUACAGACCAAAAGGGGUAAUUUUCAGCGCCGUCUAAUGACUGGCUUCAGUUCGUAGGCAUCGACAAGGGAAAAGAUGCUGACUUGGCGCAAGGGCUUUGGAGAUUCAACUAUAUAUAUUAUGAAAGGAACGGUUUGAAUGAAUACGCUGCCAGGGAUAGGUAUUUUGCCAAGUGAAGAUUAAACGGCUUCUCCCGACAACAUAGAAAUUCUUAUCAUGGACCAGUGCUAGGGACUCCUAAUCCACAUCCUACUGCUCGCUAGAUGAGGGAUAGCCAGAUAAUGCAACUCAUUCGGGAUAUGUACCGUGUGUUCCAGCUGCAAAUUAAAAGGAUUUUCCAUUUCCAAUUUGGAGAUGAUAACUUGGAGGCUUGAAAGAUAAGCUACUUCAAUCAAUAUGACAAUACCAUAAUUGAAAGUCAUCAUCUCUGGGGAAAAUAAAAUAUUAGAG